AAGGUUUGGUCCUAGCCUUGAAGUCAAUUCUUAUUUAACAUACACAUGCAAGUUUCCGCACCCCUGUGAGAACGCCCUCUAGCUUCCUUUUAGGAAACAGGAGCUGAUAUCAGGCACACUUCCUUGCCCAUGACAUCUAGCCUCGCCACACCCACAAGGGACUUCAGCAGUGAUUAACAUUGAGCAUAAGCGACAGCUUGACUCAGUUAAAUUAAUUAGAGCCGGCCAAUCUGGUGCCAGCCGCCGCGGUUACACCACUGUGGCUCAAAUUGACCUCCAUCGGCGUAAAGCGUGAUUUAAGCACACCAUUAUUUGGGGCUAAAUUAGAACUAAGCUGUAACACGCUUGUCCCCUAGAAACUCCUAUACGAAAGUUGCUCCAACUUAUUCCACUUGAACUCACGACAACUGAGAAACAAACUGGGACUAGAUACCCCACUAUGCUCAGUAGUAAACCUUAAUAUACUUAUCCCUUUCUCGCCUGGGAACUACGAGCCAAGCUUAAAACCCAAAGGACUUGACGGUACCCCAUAUCCCCCUAGAGGAGCCUGUCCUGUAAUCGAUAACCCCCGUUAAACCUCACCAUUUUUAGUUUAUCAGCCUGUAUACCUCCGUCGUCAGCUUACCCCGUGAGCGCUAGUGAGCUUAAUGUUCUUUCAACUAAACGUCAGGUCAAGGUGCAACAUAUAAAAUGGGAAGAGAUGGGCUACACUUUCUACCCUAGACAACACGAAAGACUAUUUAUGCAACCUAGUCGGAAGGCGGAUUUAGAAGUAAAAUAGGACCAGAAAGCCUAUUUUAACCCGGCACUGGGGUGUGUACACACCGCCCGUCACCCUCCUCAAUGCUAUAAGGAAGUUUAUAACACCUUUCAGCUGAACAGAAGAGGCAAGUCGUAACAUGGUAAGUAUACCGGAAGGUGUGCUUGGAAA
This 931-nucleotide non-coding RNA is filed under the name Hyloxalus nexipus (Los Tayos rocket frog). RNAcentral describes it as "12S ribosomal RNA". It matches the Rfam family "Bacterial small subunit ribosomal RNA". Lineage: Eukaryota; Metazoa; Chordata; Amphibia; Anura; Dendrobatidae. The record is from RNAcentral.